This 326-nucleotide long non-coding RNA is filed under the name Trifolium pratense (red clover). Its description in RNAcentral is "long non-coding RNA (TPRA_LNC007687)". The record is from RNAcentral. Lineage: Eukaryota; Viridiplantae; Streptophyta; Magnoliopsida; Fabales; Fabaceae.
ACCUUCAACAAAAUUGAUUUCCUCGUCAAUUCCUCUGACUUCCCUCAUUUCCAUAUACUCUCAUUCAUCAACAUCUUUUUUCCUUGUAAAUCUAAUUCACCCUGAUUUUGAUCUAUCACCAUACAUUUGAAACUAUUAUAACCAUUUGUGACAAUACUUGUAUUCACACUGAUAUCAUAUAAAUUUACUCAUUAGCAAUAUAACAGUAUAUCCUCCAUCAAUUAAUCCAACACCAUGACCAUUUUGACUCUCCUUCCAUCGGUUUAUCAUAAAAGGAAACUCCACCCUUAUAUCCUCCAGUUUUAUUCUUUGCUCCAUAUUCCUUU